UACAGAGGUCCCAAGCGUUGUUCGGAAUGACUGGGCGUAAAGGGCGCGUAGGCGGUUUUUUAAGUGAGGCGUGAAAGCCCUGGGCUUAACCCAGGAGGUGCGUUUCAUACUGGAAGACUUGAGUGCGAGAGAGGAAAGUGGAAUUCCUAGUGUAGAGGUGAAAUUCGUAGAUAUUAGGAAGAACACCCGUGGCGAAGGCGGCUUUCUGGCUCGCAACUGACGCUGAGGCGCGAAAGCGUGGGGAGCAAACAGG
Molecule: ribosomal RNA, 253 nt
Filed under: uncultured bacterium
Lineage: Bacteria
Description: partial 16S ribosomal RNA
Rfam family: Bacterial small subunit ribosomal RNA
Source: RNAcentral